This is a long non-coding RNA of Mangifera indica (mango), 929 nucleotides long. RefSeq lists it as uncharacterized. The transcript has 2 exons. The record is from RefSeq and is a predicted model, not a curated record. NCBI's taxonomy places the organism in Eukaryota, Viridiplantae, Streptophyta, Magnoliopsida, Sapindales, Anacardiaceae.
UAGUUUACGAAAGUAGGGCGGAAAGAACGUUGCGACUUGCGUGGCGCUAAUAGUAUUGUCGCGAAGUCAAUAUAUUCUUUUUCAUUAUCCUAGGCAUAUUCUUCUUCUCCUCAAUUCAACAUAUACAAUUCUCUCACGUAACUAAGCAAAAUUCAUCGAAAAAACCCGACAAUGGCCAAAGCUCUGUUGCUCUUAUCUCUCCUUCUCCUCCUCUCAACCCGUCUCUCGUAUUCGAGCCUCCAUCCUCCAACCCUCGCACAUGCGGAGUUAACAAACUACGGCUUCCCAAUCGGGCUGCUUCCCUCAUCGGUUCAAACCUACACUUUGAACCAGACCUCUGGCGAGUUCUCCGUGCAGCUCGGUGGCGCAUGUAGAUUGACUCUCCCGCCGGACAACUAUUUGGCUAACUAUUCUAAUAAAAUUAGGGGGAAGAUCGAGCAUGGUCGGAUCGCGGAACUGGAUGGUAUACGGGUCUGGGCUUUCUUCAAGUGGUGGUCCAUCACGGGGAUCCGGUCCAGCGGGGAUAAUUUGGUGUUUGAAGUUGGAAUGGCCUCCGCUAAGUUUGCCAGUAAAAAUUUUGACGAGACUCCCGAAUGCGACGGCCAGAAAUCAGCCUCUUAAUUUAGAGCUUCCCAUCUGCUGAAGAACUUAUCUUAGAGAAUCUUGGCAAGGGGGCAGUAAACUAUUACACGUUUCAUGUCAUUUGAACCACGGAAAACUCUUUUUUUUUCCUGUUUGCAUUUGCAUAUAUAGCUAGAACUUUGACUAUGUUUAAAUCCUGUGUUGCACAAGGAAAUGCUGUUGGAUUUAAUGUAAAUUUGUAAUGUUAAUGCAGGUCAAAUCUUAUAGAAAUAAGAGACAUUCAAUGUGAAUGAGACUAAAUGUAUGACAUUGAAAUAAAAUUUAAAGUUUGACAUUUGAUAUUUCAA